Molecule: ribosomal RNA, 644 nt
Filed under: uncultured Sphingomonadaceae bacterium
Lineage: Bacteria; Pseudomonadati; Pseudomonadota; Alphaproteobacteria; Sphingomonadales; Sphingomonadaceae
Description: bacterial SSU rRNA
Rfam family: Bacterial small subunit ribosomal RNA
Source: RNAcentral
AGUGGCGCACGGGUGCGUAACGCGUGGGAAUCUGCCCUUGGGUUCGGAAUAACAGUUAGAAAUGACUGCUAAUACCGGAUGAUGUCUUCGGACCAAAGAUUUAUCGCCCGAGGAUGAGCCCGCGUAGGAUUAGCUAGUUGGUGGGGUAAAGGCCCACCAAGGCGACGAUCCUUAGCUGGUCUGAGAGGAUGAUCAGCCACACUGGGACUGAGACACGGCCCAGACUCCUACGGGAGGCAGCAGUGGGGAAUAUUGGACAAUGGGCGAAAGCCUGAUCCAGCAAUGCCGCGUGAGUGAUGAAGGCCUUAGGGUUGUAAAGCUCUUUUACCCGGGAUGAUAAUGACAGUACCGGGAGAAUAAGCCCCGGCUAACUCCGUGCCAGCAGCCGCGGUAAUACGGAGGGGGCUAGCGUUGUUCGGAAUUACUGGGCGUAAAGCGCGCGUAGGCGGCUUUGUAAGUUAGAGGUGAAAGCCCGGAGCUCAACUUCGGAAUUGCCUUUAAGACUGCAUCGCUUGAAUCAUGGAGAGGUCAGUGGAAUUCCGAGUGUAGAGGUGAAAUUCGUAGAUAUUCGGAAGAACACCAGUGGCGAAGGCGACUGACUGGACAUGUAUUGACGCUGAGGUGCGAAAGCGUGGGGAGCAAAC